GCAUAUCAAUAAGCGGAGGAAAAGAAACCAACAGGGAUUGCCCUAGUAACGGCGAGUGAAGCGGCAACAGCUCAAAUUUGAAAUCUGGCCUCGGCCCGAGUUGUAAUUUGCAGAGGAUGUUUCUGGCGCGGUGCCUUCCGAGUUCCCUGGAACGGGACGCCAAAGAGGGUGAGAGCCCCGUAUGGUCGGACACCAAGCCUGUGUGAAACUCCUUCGACGAGUCGAGUAGUUUGGGAAUGCUGCUCUAAAUGGGAGGUAAAUCUCUUCUAAAGCUAAAUACCGGCCAGAGACCGAUAGCGCACAAGUAGAGUGAUCGAAAGAUGAAAAGCACCUUGAAAAGGGGGUUAAAUAGUACGUGAAAUUGUUGAAAGGGAAGCACUUAUGACCAGACUUGGGCCGGGCGGCUCAUCAGGGGUUCUCCCCUGUGCACUCCGCCCGGCACAGGCCAGCAUCGGUUCUCGUGGGGGGAUAAGACCGUCAGGAACGUAGCACCCUCCGGGGUGUGUUAUAGCCUGGCGGACGAUACCCUCGUGGGGACCGAGGUUCGCGCUCCGCAAGGAUGCUGGCGUAAUGGUCAUCAGUGACCCGUCUUGAAACACGGACCAAGGAGUCGUCCAUUAGAGCGAGCGUUUGGGUGUAAAACCCGCACGCGUAAUGAAAGUGAACGCAGGUGAGAGCUUCGGCGCAUCAUCGACCGAUCCUGAUGUUCUCGGAAGGAUUUGAGUAAGAGUUUUAACGGACGGACCCGAAAGACAGUGAACUAUGCUUGUAUAGGGUGAAGCCAGAGGAAACUCUGGUGGAGGCUCGCAGCGGUUCUGACGUGCAAAUCGAUCGUCAAAUAUGAGCAUGGGGGCGAAAGACUAAUCGAACUGUCUAGUAGCUGGUUACCGC
This 891-nucleotide ribosomal RNA is filed under the name Diaporthe rudis. Its description in RNAcentral is "LSU rRNA". It matches the Rfam family "Eukaryotic large subunit ribosomal RNA", at positions 38 to 961 of the family's 3401-position model. Lineage: Eukaryota; Fungi; Ascomycota; Sordariomycetes; Diaporthales; Diaporthaceae. The record is from RNAcentral.